UUUCUUUUUCUUUUAUAUUAUUUUUUUUUCUAAUUGCUUAACUGGAGAGGACAAUUUCACUGUAUUACUUUCGAGUAAAGAGGAUGAUGCAAUUUACUAAGUAUGUGACGAAAAUCUGCAGUCAUUCAAGUCAACUAAAGUGUAAUCAUUUUGAGCCGAUCAUGAAUUGCAAGAAGGGGAAUAUAGAAUAUCACUAUGAUAGUGACGAAAAUGGCACUCCUCAGAUAAAGAAAUUGAAAUCUACUUCGUGCAAAAGAAAUGUUCCGUAAGAAUUAUUAAACGAUGAGAAAUAGUCAUCGUAGUUGGUACUGUGUGAAAAGAAUGCAAGGAGAGGCUAUUGCAAACUCGGUAAUUGUGAGAUAGUUAAUAGCUUUAGCAAUAGAGAAUGACAAAAACAAAUGUAAAAAGAAAUAAAAAACUGAUGACAGUUAAGAAUGUUAUUCGUUGUUUCAUUUACUAAUAAACUAUGUAAAGAGUA
This is a long non-coding RNA of Octopus bimaculoides (California two-spot octopus), 478 nucleotides long. The record is from RefSeq and is a predicted model, not a curated record. Lineage: Eukaryota; Metazoa; Mollusca; Cephalopoda; Octopoda; Octopodidae.